UACGGAGGGUGCGAGCGUUGUUCGGAAUCACUGGGCGUAAAGCGCGUGUAGGCAGCCCACUAAGUCUGAUGUGAAAGCCCGGGGCUCACCCCCGGAAGUGCAUUGGAAACUGGUGGACUCGAGUCCCGGAGAGGAGAGUGGAAUUCCUGGUGUAGCGGUGAAAUGCGUAGAUAUCAGGAGGAACACCGGUGGCGAAGGCGGCUCUCUGGACGGUGACUGACGCUGAGACGCGAAAGCGUGGGGAGCAAACAGG
Molecule: ribosomal RNA, 253 nt
Filed under: uncultured bacterium
Lineage: Bacteria
Description: partial 16S ribosomal RNA
Rfam family: Bacterial small subunit ribosomal RNA
Source: RNAcentral